CCUACGGGAGGCAGCAGUGAGGAAUAUUGGUCAAUGGGCGCGAGCCUGAACCAGCCAAGUCGCGUGAGGGAGGACGGCCCUACGGGUUGUAAACCUCUUUUGCCGGGGAGCAACGGGCGUCACGUGUGGCGCCACUGAGAGUACCCGGAGAAAAAGCAUCGGCUAACUCCGUGCCAGCAGCCGCGGUAAUACGGAGGAUGCGAGCGUUAUCCGGAUUUAUUGGGUUUAAAGGGUGCGUAGGCGGAUCGUUAAGUCAGUGGUCAAAUUGAGGGGCUCAACCCCUUCCCGCCAUUGAAACUGGCGCUCUUGAGUGGAAGAGAAGUAUGCGGAAUGCGUGGUGUAGCGGUGAAAUGCAUAGAUAUCACGCAGAACCCCGAUUGCGAAGGCAGCAUGCCGGCUUCCGACUGACGCUGAAGCACGAAAGCGUGGGGAUCGAACAGGAUUAGAUACCCCAGUAGUC
RNAcentral lists this ribosomal RNA (460 nucleotides) under uncultured bacterium. Its description in RNAcentral is "partial 16S ribosomal RNA". It matches the Rfam family "Bacterial small subunit ribosomal RNA", at positions 338 to 795 of the family's 1533-position model. The record is from RNAcentral.